GACGAACGCUGGCGGCGUGCUUAACACAUGCAAGUCGAACGGUAAGGCCCUUCGGGGUACACGAGUGGCGAACGGGUGAGUAACACGUGGGUGAUCUGCCCUGCACUUCGGGAUAAGCCUGGGAAACUGGGUCUAAUACCGGAUAGGACCCUGGGAUGCAUGUCCUGGGGUGGAAAGCUUUUGCGGUGUGGGAUGGGCCCGCGGCCUAUCAGCUUGUUGGUGGGGUGAUGGCCUACCAAGGCGACGAGGGGUAGCCGGCUGGAGAGGUGGGCCGGCCACACUGGGAAUGAGAUCCGGCCCAGCUUCCUACGGGAGGCAGCAGUGGGGAAUAUUGCACACUGGGCGCAAGCCUGAUGCAGCGACGCCGCGUGAGGGAUGACGGCCUUCGGGUUGUAAACCUCUUUCAGCACCGACGAAGCGCAAGUGACGGUAGGUGCAGAAGAAGGACCGGCCAACUACGUGCCAGCAGCCGCCGUAA
RNAcentral lists this ribosomal RNA (478 nucleotides) under uncultured bacterium. Its description in RNAcentral is "partial 16S ribosomal RNA". It matches the Rfam family "Bacterial small subunit ribosomal RNA", at positions 28 to 523 of the family's 1533-position model. The record is from RNAcentral.